RNAcentral lists this long non-coding RNA (1834 nucleotides) under Homo sapiens (human). Its description in RNAcentral is "PREDICTED lncRNA (TCONS_00238003)". Lineage: Eukaryota; Metazoa; Chordata; Mammalia; Primates; Hominidae. The record is from RNAcentral.
CUGGCAGACGGGAGGAGGCAGGGGAGGAGGGGCGCGCGCGCCGGGUGGGGAGCCACGGAGGGCUUCGCCGCUGCCUCCCUCCCUCCCUCCGCAGCUUGACCCGGUAGUGAAGGCAGAGAGAGAGGCAGGCUGGGUCCGCCUGGCAGCCUACGGGAGGAGGCGGGAGCCGGGAAGGAGGGGAGCCUAGGCCCGGCGUGGGGAGGCCGGCAGGAAGGGCCUCGAGCCCAGUGCGGACCUUUCUUCAGCCUCUGUGCGACCGAGCCGCGCGCCAGGCUCCUGUGCGAGGAGGACGCGCUGACUCCCUCCGACCUGGGCUCCGAUGGAGCAGAAAUAGCGGGACCUGGACUUGUGGCGCGCCUGGUGCCACAUCUCGGGCUCUGCGAGCGUCCUGGCGCGGGAUCCUGCCGUGAGAAGGAGUUGGGGCGGGGGACCCGGCGGGGCAUUGCGGGAGAAGGCCUGGGAUCCCUGGGAGCCUUGUAGCGUGGGGGAGUUCACUGUGUAGAGAGGUUUCAUGUCUUCAUCUAUAUAGUCACUUAUUUGUCUUAAAGUUCUCGAAAUUCCCUCUUAGAGAAGGAGAAAGUUAGAGAACUGGAGGCUGCGUACCCUGAUUACGCAGAAGGGAAGCAGCCUCGCAUUCCCCGGGGCAGGCCCCCGCCCGCGCGUCCCGCCAGUAGGGGAAUUUAGCGGACGGCUGCGGUUGUCUGGUGAAAGGCUAUCCAAGGAUAAGGGGCUUCACUUUUCCCAAGUAGGGGAAAGAGAAGGGGUCUACAGGGCUAGGGGUGGAGGGAGCGGAUGCAGUGAGCAGCCUCCGCAGAGAAAUUGACAAUUUAACCAGGGACCUGCGGCAGAGACAAGGCGGAGACACUCCCUUGCCCAGGAAAGCCGCCAGAGUCCGGCUUGUACCUGGGGAAGAAUCCUUAAGACGGUCUGGCCCAACACUCCUUUGCUCACAGAGAAAGGGGAGAAGACUCCCGAGGGUGAAAAUGGUACAUUCGGAGCUGGAACUCAGCUCGCUGACCCCAAGCAGUGUUCCCUUCUUUUCGCCAGGUUUGCAUCCAAGAGAGGGGAGGACAGGGGCAAAAGGAUGCAGGGAGGCUGCUGAUUUCCACUGAAGAGCUAAUUUCCUGUGAGACAUUAACAGUGAUUUAAGAAAAAGAUUCCUGUAACUGUAAUGUCUUACAAUAACAGAAUGCAGGAGAGCACAUAUCAAUGAAGAAAAGACAAAAUGUACUUAUCCAUGAAGCUGAGGUUAAGAAACCAGUGUCUUCAAGAGCCAGGGACAGCACUGGGUCUGUGCAGAGUUGAGAGAUGGUGAUGACAUGUGACAGAGCUCCUUGCUGCUCAAAUUUUAUGCCAGAUAAAAUAUUCACCUUCUCGGACUCCCUGGCACCAGGCAUGGCCAUGUAAUCCUACAGCACAGCUGAUGAAAGAGAAGACAUCUUGCUGCUAUUUGACAAGCAAGAAGAUAAAAGCUUUCCUAUAAAGAUGAUGGAGCAAAAAAAUAGAAGGGGCCUAGACUCCCUACCUUCACACUUCCUGCUAUAAAAGCAUUGCUAUUAUAAGGUUAAUCUGCAGAAACAGACUUCUAUGUCAUAUGCUUAAAUGCAUCAAAAUUCAUACAAUAUCCAUUAAAUUGGUAAAAGUAUCCAUUUUAAAGGAUUAAUCUGAGGGACCCACAGACACUUAACACAAUCAAAUCUCAGAAAAAAAAUCAGUUAUUUCAUUGUGAUUUUGAGGCUGAUCUUUUAUGAUCUUUUAGUUAUCAAACUGUUAAAUACAUUUUAACUUUCAAAUUUUAUGAAUAAAGGAGAUGAAUCCUGUUAUUUUCUCAGUG